CUAGGUGUGACAAAUCGUAGGGCAGGAGCAUCAGACACAUUCUAUGGGAGGUCCAUAUUUCAUUUUGAAGAGGGGGCUGGCACCAAGGCUACAAGUUUAUCAUAUGAUAUGGCUCCCAGCACACCAGAACUCACUGAUGUCAAUGGGAACUUUGCACAAGGACUGAGGAGCACUGGCAGGUGGAGCAUUUAAAAGGGAGGUGAUUCAGAGACAGCUGCUUCUCACCAGCUGUGCCAGCAGACUUCAGUGAUUCAUAGAUUCCAAGGCCAGAAAGGACAAUUGUGAUAAUCCAGUCUGACCUCCUUUGUAACACAGGCACAGAACUUCCCCAAAGUAAUUAAUUGUGAAUAGCUUUUAGAAAAACAGCCAACCUUGAUUUUAAAAUUGCCAGUGAUGAAGAAACCCCCACAGCACAGGUCACUGAUAAGCAUGUUGAAGAGCAUAGGGCCAAGAACUAAUCCUUGUGGACCCUACUGAAAAUGCAGCCACUCAAUGACAAUUUCUCAUUUACAAUUACAAUUUGACACUUUCUCAGCAGAGAGGACCAGACUGAAUAGGUGUGGUGAAUGAAAUAGCUUUUCACACCCAGUGGAGUUGCUUAUGGCGGAAUGAAGGGGCAGCGUGUGGGAGCUUGCACAGCUACUGGACCUGUUAUUUUCAUUCUGAAAUUUAUU
Long non-coding RNA from Mauremys reevesii (Reeves's turtle), 674 nucleotides. RefSeq lists it as uncharacterized. The record is from RefSeq and is a predicted model, not a curated record. The transcript is spliced from 4 exons. NCBI's taxonomy places the organism in Eukaryota, Metazoa, Chordata, Testudines, Geoemydidae.